UGAAGAACGCAGCCAACUGUGUGAAUUAAUGUGAACUGCAUACUGCUUUGACAUCGACAUCUUGAACGCAUAUUGCGGCCAUGGGUUAGCCUGUGGCCACGCCUGUCCGAGGGUCGGCUU
RNAcentral lists this ribosomal RNA (120 nucleotides) under Maritrema eroliae. Its description in RNAcentral is "partial 5.8S ribosomal RNA". It matches the Rfam family "5.8S ribosomal RNA", at positions 37 to 154 of the family's 154-position model. From Rfam's summary of the family: 5.8S ribosomal RNA (5.8S rRNA) is a component of the large subunit of the eukaryotic ribosome. It is transcribed by RNA polymerase I as part of the 45S precursor that also contains 18S and 28S rRNA. The record is from RNAcentral. Lineage: Eukaryota; Metazoa; Platyhelminthes; Trematoda; Plagiorchiida; Microphallidae.